Molecule: ribosomal RNA, 300 nt
Filed under: uncultured Halioglobus sp.
Lineage: Bacteria; Pseudomonadati; Pseudomonadota; Gammaproteobacteria; Cellvibrionales; Halieaceae
Description: bacterial SSU rRNA
Rfam family: Bacterial small subunit ribosomal RNA
Source: RNAcentral
GGCCUAACACAUGCAGUCGAGCGAGAAAGCCUUCGGGUGAGUAUAGCGGCGGACGGGUGAGUAACGCGUGGGAAUCUACCCAGUAGUGGGGGACAACAGUCGUGAAACGACUGCUAAUACCGCAUACACCCUACGGGGAAAAGGGGGCUUCGGCUCGUGCGCUAUUGGAUGAGCCCCGCGUAAGAUUAGCUAGUAGGUGGGGGUAAAGGCCCACCUAGGCGACGAUCUUUAGCUGGUCUGAGAGGAUGAUCAGCCACACUGGGACUGAGACACGGUCCCAGACUCCUACGGGAGGCAGCA